RNAcentral lists this transfer RNA (73 nucleotides) under Camelus bactrianus (Bactrian camel). It matches the Rfam family "tRNA". From Rfam's summary of the family: Transfer RNA (tRNA) molecules are approximately 80 nucleotides in length. Their secondary structure includes four short double-helical elements and three loops (D, anti-codon, and T loops). The record is from Rfam by way of RNAcentral. Lineage: Eukaryota; Metazoa; Chordata; Mammalia; Artiodactyla; Camelidae. RNAcentral also lists the same sequence under 2 other names.
AGGGGAGGAGCUCAAGCGGUAGAGCACAUGCUUAGCAUGCAUGAGGUCCUGGGGUCAACCCCCAGCACUCCUC